CCCGCCCCAGCCGAGCCGAGCGGAGCCGAGCGCGCAGCCGGGCCGCCGCCGCCGCCGUCUCGUAGAUGCCAUCACAGCAACAAAGAGCUCGCUGAGCUGAGAGCCGCGACAAGAGCUCGCCUGGAAGCCCUCCACCGUGCCCGCUCCAGGAGCUGGGUGACAGCAGGAGGAAACGCUCCGGGGGUCUGGGGGAGGAGAGGGGACAGGAGAUGGCCAAGAAGAGAAAGCCCCCCAGCAUCAAGGACUCUGUUCUAAGCAACUCAACUUUGCACUGGUUCAGGUCUUCUGAAACAACAGCCUCUUAUCUUAAUGACUGACAAAGGUAACCACCUAGUCAAAUUAAGUCCUUCUUGAUGUAGAUGUUGGUGUAAAAUAUUAUUGUUCAAUGUUAAAUGAAGACAAAUAGAAAA
RNAcentral lists this long non-coding RNA (410 nucleotides) under Capra hircus (goat). RNAcentral describes it as "lncRNA (ENSCHIG00000008319.1)". The record is from RNAcentral. Lineage: Eukaryota; Metazoa; Chordata; Mammalia; Artiodactyla; Bovidae.